UACGUAGGGUGCGAGCGUUAAUCGGAAUUACUGGGCGUAAAGCGUGCGCAGGCGGUUCGUUGUGUCGGCGGUGAAAGCCCCGGGCUUAACCUGGGAAUGGCCGUUGAAACUGGCGAACUGGAGUGUGGCAGAGGGGGGUGGAAUUCCGCGUGUAGCAGUGAAAUGCGUAGAGAUACGGAGGAACACCGAUGGCGAAGGCAAUCCCCUGGGCCUGUACUGACGCUCAUGCACGAAAGCGUGGGGAGCAAACAGG
This 253-nucleotide ribosomal RNA is filed under the name uncultured bacterium. RNAcentral describes it as "partial 16S ribosomal RNA". It matches the Rfam family "Bacterial small subunit ribosomal RNA", at positions 524 to 776 of the family's 1533-position model. The record is from RNAcentral.